AGCAGAAUGUUGGCUGUGGCCCAUGUCACAGAUGACACAGCCACCCAGGAUGGAGGCGAGGAGCAGGCGAGCAAGGGCUGAGAGCUGAAGGCUCACGCAGGGACACAACCAGACCAUGGCGCACUCCUGUCCUCAGCCACUCAGCUGAAGGGAUUUGCUGCUUUCUACAAGGACACCGACAUCAAGAUAAAGCAUCAAAAUGUUAUCUCUGGGCACCAACCCCAGUGAUGCAGUGCCCAUGUCACAGCGGGCAGCAGGCUGGUGGUGGCCAAUGUGCUACCUGUGCUUGUCGGCAUUACCCGGCUUUGUGCAGCCGCAGGCCCAGGCCAGGACACAGCUGGGCCAUGGCACGCUCCUGGCCCCCCUUCCUCAGCCCUCUCAAUCAGAGGUUUCUGCAGCUUUCUGUGGUGUCCUGGACCUAAGGGCGAGGAACACACACAGCCGCAGACUGCACCGCACCAUGGGCUCACAGGGAAGGGCAUGCCGACUUGUGAGAUGAUACAUGCUCCAGUUCAUAGUAAGUUUGAGAUAACAAGAACUCUGGACCUAAGUAGUUUGGAAUCAAGAUUUAUGUCACUAGGAUGACUGCAAAAAGCUGCCAGAAGCAUCAGGGAGACCUUGCCAUAUUAAGCAAAGAGCAUCCCAAAGCAAACAGGUCCUAUGACCAGCACACCCCUUUGCAGCUAGCCAACUCCUUUGGACUCUGACAUCAGUGAAAGACACUUGCCUCAUUUCUUUUUGUUAAACAUCAUUAAAAUAACCUACUCUUACUUUAUUACUAUUUAAUUUUAAUGAUUUAUUAUUUACAAUUUCCUCAACUCUGUAUAUGAUUGCUCAAAAU
Molecule: long non-coding RNA, 841 nt
Filed under: Anser brachyrhynchus (Pink-footed goose)
Lineage: Eukaryota; Metazoa; Chordata; Aves; Anseriformes; Anatidae
Description: lncRNA (ENSABRG00000009005.1)
Source: RNAcentral